Molecule: ribosomal RNA, 394 nt
Filed under: uncultured Cercozoa
Lineage: Eukaryota; Cercozoa
Description: SSU rRNA
Rfam family: Eukaryotic small subunit ribosomal RNA
Source: RNAcentral
CCAGCUCCAAUAGCGUAUAUUAAAGUUGUUGCAGUUAAAAAGCUCGUAGUUGGAUUUCUGGCGUUGGGGCCGCCGGCCCGGCAUCCUAGUGGUGCUGUGUUGUUGGUUGGUCUCCGCCAUCUUUUCGGAAGAACCAGCGUGCCCUUCACUGGGUGGCGUUGGCGACUCCGAUCUUUUACUUUGAAAAAAUUAGAGUGUUCAAAGCAGGCUUACGCUGUGAAUACAUUAGCAUGGAAUAAUAACAUAGGACUUUGGUCUUAUUUUGUUGGUUUCUAGGACUGAAGUAAUGAUUGAUAGGGAUAGUUGGGGGUGCUCGUAUUCAGGGGCCAGAGGUGAAAUUCUAUGAUUCCCUGAAGACGAACUUAUGCGAAAGCAUUCACCAAGGAUGUCUUCU